GUGCAGCGGUAGUUCAGUUGGUUAGAAUACCGGCCUGUCACGCCGGGGGUCGCGGGUUCGAGCC
This 64-nucleotide transfer RNA is filed under the name Acinetobacter baumannii 532413. Its description in RNAcentral is "partial tRNA-Asp". It matches the Rfam family "tRNA", at positions 1 to 59 of the family's 71-position model. From Rfam's summary of the family: Transfer RNA (tRNA) molecules are approximately 80 nucleotides in length. Their secondary structure includes four short double-helical elements and three loops (D, anti-codon, and T loops). The record is from RNAcentral. RNAcentral also lists the same sequence under 2 other names. Lineage: Bacteria; Pseudomonadati; Pseudomonadota; Gammaproteobacteria; Moraxellales; Moraxellaceae.